UACGUAGGGGGCGAGCGUUAUCCGGAUUUACUGGGUGUAAAGGGAGCGUAGACGGCGUCGCAAGUCUGAAGUGAAAGCCCGUGGCUCAACUGCGGAACCGCUUUGGAAACUGCGAGGCUGGAGUGCUGGAGAGGUAAGCAGAAUUCCUGGUGUAGCGGUGAAAUGCGUAGAUAUCAGGAGGAACACCGGUGGCGAAGGCGGCUUACUGGACAGUGACUGACGUUGAGGCUCGAAAGCGUGGGGAGCGAACAGG
RNAcentral lists this ribosomal RNA (253 nucleotides) under uncultured bacterium. Its description in RNAcentral is "partial 16S ribosomal RNA". It matches the Rfam family "Bacterial small subunit ribosomal RNA", at positions 524 to 776 of the family's 1533-position model. The record is from RNAcentral.